UUCCUUCACCCGCGGUCCUCCUCUGGGUACUCUAUGGCACCUUGUACUUCUACCCAAUUUUGUCUCCCAUUCUCCCAGCUCCCCAGCUCACCUCCCGCGGCCCGCAUCUCCGGAUGCUUCCUCCGAGGCUGCGGGGUACAGAGCCUGCCGCGAAGGAACCCGGUUUCUCCAUCUCGGCGAUGGAAGCACGGGUCAUAAUGGCCGCAUGCGCAGUGAUAAUUCAGCGGCCUGUCGACCGCGCCUUUUGACCGCUGUUCAGGUGAAGAUUGUGUUAAGGAAGGACAUCAGAGGAUACGACAAGGACACAGCAGAAGGGCCGGGUUACACUUGAGAGGUUCUUAGCGUCUGAGAAAACAGCCUGUCAGGUUCGGCUUCGUUAAAUGAAGGGGCCAUGUAACCAGUGAAUCAGCUAUUGUAGAUGAUUUAUUUGGUCUACACUUGGAAAGACCACCCUGAAGAUAGCAGAAGCCUUUGGCUAAUACUUAGCCAGGCAGCCUUUGGGAUAAGAGCAGCAGUCACACCUUUGAGUUCAAGGCCAGCCUUGUCUACAUAGAGAAACCUCAUUUGGAAAAGUGUAGUACUUUGUCACUUAACAUGUAAUUUGUUUAAUAAAGACUUUUGGGAAGUGUCUCUGCAACUGGA
Molecule: long non-coding RNA, 642 nt
Organism: Mastomys coucha (southern multimammate mouse)
Lineage: Eukaryota; Metazoa; Chordata; Mammalia; Rodentia; Muridae
Exons: 5
Source: RefSeq, a predicted model, not a curated record